CAGCACCUCAAGUGGUCAGGAGGAUUAUUUGGCCUAAAGCGUCCGUAGCCGGCCGAGUAAGUCCCCCGUUAAAUCCAGCGUCUCAAGCGUUGGGCUGCGGGAGAUACUACUUGGCUAGAGAGUGGGAGAGGUCAGCGGUAUUCUGGGGGUAGGGGCGAAAUCCUUUGAUCCCCGGAGGACCACCAGUGGCGAAGGCUGCUGACUAGAACACGUCUGACGGUCAGGGACGAAAGCUGGGGUAGCGAACCGGAUUAGAUACCCGAGUAGUCC
RNAcentral lists this ribosomal RNA (270 nucleotides) under uncultured archaeon. RNAcentral describes it as "partial 16S ribosomal RNA". It matches the Rfam family "Archaeal small subunit ribosomal RNA", at positions 477 to 747 of the family's 1478-position model. The record is from RNAcentral.